Molecule: long non-coding RNA, 595 nt
Organism: Amphimedon queenslandica
Lineage: Eukaryota; Metazoa; Porifera; Demospongiae; Haplosclerida; Niphatidae
Exons: 2
Source: RefSeq, a predicted model, not a curated record
AUUCAUUAAUGAUAAUAAUUCUCACUGAGUGCUUUCAAUACUCCAGUCAACACUGCAGCUCUAACUAACCUCUCACUCUCUCGCUCUCCCUUCACUUCUUCCUUCUAUACUGGGAGGACGUCCUAUGGUGGAGCCUCCUCUUCCGGUAGACCAUCAUCAUCUCCUUUGUUUAGAAAGAGAACUAGAAACGAGACCAGCCCAACUAGUGUACAAGUUGGUCCCGUGAAGCGAGCAGUCAAGCCACACCCUCACACCUCACAGUUUCCAGUGGGCGGGGCCAGUCACACGGCUCUUAAGAUUCUCGAUACCCUCCAGUCUCUAAGCACUCCGCUACAAGACGCUAGGAAACUCCCACUAAGAGCAACAGUGAGUGAUCAUUAUUACGUGUACAUUGUACAGUAUAACCUCGAUUAUCCGGACCCCUUUGUCCAUCAGGUGGUCCGGAUAAGUGAAAAGUCCGGAUAAUUGAAAAGUCCGGAUAAUUGAAAUGACCUUUAAAACCUUCAUAUACUUACUCCAAAGAAAAGUUACAACCUUAAUCAGCCAUAAGGAAGCUAAAUCCAAGCCUUGUUACUAGUAGAAAGCCAUUAAUCAG